This 410-nucleotide unclassified non-coding RNA is filed under the name Corethrogyne filaginifolia. Its description in RNAcentral is "partial external transcribed spacer". The record is from RNAcentral. Lineage: Eukaryota; Viridiplantae; Streptophyta; Magnoliopsida; Asterales; Asteraceae.
UUGGUUUGAUACGGGUGGUCGGCUCCCUGCUUGAGCAGGCACGGCCACGCGUGCAUUCCUUUUCAGAUGUGCGGCAAGGCUUGUAUGGUCUUGAUCGUAUAAGUGGGUUUCCUGUGUUGAAUACCUGAUCAACGGCAUCGUUUCGAUCAAAAGCGUACCUUUUUCGUCUAGUGUUGCACCCGCACCAUUGGAUGAACCGUGUAGCAUUCUCUUUGAUCCAUACAAUUGACAUUCAUUGUUAUUUGUUUGGCCCAUUGAGCGUGUCUUGGUCCCUUGAAUAUGGAAGCCAAAGUGGGCACGGGAUCGCAAGAUCCGUUUAGUGCCCUAAUUGAGCGUUUUCGCUUCUCUUACACGACUGCCUCUCACGUAUGGCACGUCCCAGCGUGUUUGGCUAUGUCGAAGAGGAAUGU